CCGCGGGGCUGGCAGCGCUGUCCCGUCUGACCGUCCCCGAUAAGAUCCAAGGUCGACGGAGGCUUCCUGCAAUAUUUCGCCUGAGCUGACCACUUGUUGUGCCGUGCCUAGAUUUGCCCUGCUCCGUCGCCCUUCACCUGCCCGUUUGACACGACCUCUGUCCCAGAGCCCCACGCACGAUGGGUUAGGAACGCCUGGACUUGGGAGGAGGGUUUCCAAACCUUUGCUUGCUGCAGAAUUUGGAAAGAGCUCAUGUAAUCUGCUACUUUAAUUGUAACAGAGGACAGGUGGAUAUGGCACAAGCACCUGGAAAGAGAAAAGGUAGAAAAGAGAUCUACUAUAGGUCAAAGACAA
Molecule: long non-coding RNA, 354 nt
Filed under: Catharus ustulatus (Swainson's thrush)
Lineage: Eukaryota; Metazoa; Chordata; Aves; Passeriformes; Turdidae
Description: lncRNA (ENSCUSG00005001378.1)
Source: RNAcentral